AACGAACGCUGGCGGCAUGCCUAACACAUGCAAGUCGAACGAGACCUUCGGGUCUAGUGGCGCACGGGUGCGUAACGCGUGGGAACCUGCCCUUAGGUUCGGAAUAACUCCCCGAAAGGGGUGCUAAUACCGGAUAAUGUCUUCGGACCAAAGAUUUAUCGCCUUUGGAUGGGCCCGCGUUGGAUUAGCUAGUUGGUAGGGUAAAAGCCUACCAAGGCGACGAUCCAUAGCUGGUCUGAGAGGAUGAUCAGCCACACUGGGACUGAGACACGGCCCAGACUCCUACGCGAGGCAGCAGUGGGGAAUAUUGGACGAUGGGCGAAAGCCUGAUCCAGCAACGCCGCGUGAGUGAUGAAGGCCUUAGGGUUGUAAAGCUCUUUUACCCGGGGUGAUAAUGACAGUACCGGGUGAAGAAGCUCCGGCUAACUCCGUG
This 433-nucleotide ribosomal RNA is filed under the name uncultured bacterium. RNAcentral describes it as "partial 16S ribosomal RNA". It matches the Rfam family "Bacterial small subunit ribosomal RNA", at positions 29 to 507 of the family's 1533-position model. The record is from RNAcentral.